AUCGAGUAAACUAUUCUUGAGUUUCUGAAGAAACUUAAGAAAUGAUGUUUUUGUAUCAUGUUUGGAAUGUUUACAGUUAUUAAGAGAAUGACAUU
Molecule: transfer RNA, 95 nt
Filed under: Schistosoma mansoni
Lineage: Eukaryota; Metazoa; Platyhelminthes; Trematoda; Strigeidida; Schistosomatidae
Source: RNAcentral